CUACGGGGGGCAGCAGUGAGGAAUCUUGCGCAAUGGGGGAAACCCUGACGCAGCGACGCCGCGUGGGUGAUGAAGGCCUUCGGGUCGUAAAGCCCUGUCGAGAGGGAAGAAUUGCAUUUAGGUUAAUAGCCUAAUUGUUUGACGGUACCUCCAAAGGAAGCACCGGCUAACUCCGUGCCAGCAGCCGCGGUAAUACGGAGGGUGCAUGCGUUGUUCGGAAUCACUGGGCGUAAAGGGCGUGUAGGCGGCUGAGUAAGUCAGGUGUGAAAUCCCUCGGCUCAACCGAGGAAGUGCAUUUGAUACUGCUCAUCUUGAGUACUGGAGAGGGAGAUGGAAUUCCCGGUGUAGAGGUGAAAUUCGUAGAUAUCGGGAGGAACACCAGUGGCGAAGGCGAUCUCCUGGACAGAUACUGACGCUAAGGCGCGAAAGUGUGGGGAGCAAACAGGAUUAGAUACCCGGGUAGUC
Molecule: ribosomal RNA, 465 nt
Filed under: uncultured bacterium
Lineage: Bacteria
Description: partial 16S ribosomal RNA
Rfam family: Bacterial small subunit ribosomal RNA
Source: RNAcentral